Non-coding RNA from Dipodomys ordii (Ord's kangaroo rat), 70 nucleotides. NCBI's taxonomy places the organism in Eukaryota, Metazoa, Chordata, Mammalia, Rodentia, Heteromyidae. The record is from Rfam.
GGGAAGGUAGCUCAGUGGUAGAGUGCUUGCCUUGCAUGCACGAGGCCCUGGGUUCAAUUCCUCAGCACCA